UUCUCAACGAUGGAUAUCUUGGUUCCCACAACGAUGAAGAACGCAGCGAAGUGCGAUAAGCAGUGCGAAUUGCAGAACCGUGAGUCAUCAGAUUUUUGAACGCAA
Molecule: ribosomal RNA, 105 nt
Filed under: Apokeronopsis crassa
Lineage: Eukaryota; Ciliophora; Spirotrichea; Urostylida; Pseudokeronopsidae
Description: 5.8S ribosomal RNA
Rfam family: 5.8S ribosomal RNA
About the family: 5.8S ribosomal RNA (5.8S rRNA) is a component of the large subunit of the eukaryotic ribosome. It is transcribed by RNA polymerase I as part of the 45S precursor that also contains 18S and 28S rRNA.
Source: RNAcentral